UUCCGGUUGAUCCUGCCGGACCCGACUGCUAUUUGGGUGAGAAUAAGCCAUGCGAGUUGAAUGGGAUUCCUAAAUUUCCCAUGGCAAACUGCUCAGUAACACAUGAUCAACUUACCCUAUAGAGAAAAAUAACCUCGGGAAACUGAGGAUAAUAUUACAUAAUUGAAUCGGCUUGGAAAAGUUUUUCAAUCAAAAGGAUAAGAAAAAUGGUUCUUAUUCGCUAUAGGAUAGGAUCGUGGACGAUUAUGGUUGUUGGUGAGGUAACGGCUCACCAAGCCGAUAAUCGAUAGGGGCCGUGAGAGCGGGAGCCCCGAGAUGGGUACUGAGACAACGACCCAGGCCUUACGAGGCGCAGCAGGCGCGGAAACUCCGCAAUACACGAAAGUGUGACGGGGUUACCCAAAGUGUUCAAUUUUGAACUGUGGUAGGUGAGUAAUGUCCCCUACUAGAAAGGAGAGGGCAAGGCUGGUGCCAGCCGCCGCGGUAAAACCAGCUCUUCAAGUGGUCGGGAUAAUUAUUGGGCUUAAAGUGUCCGUAGCCGGUUUAGUAAGUUCCUGGUAAAAUCGGGUAGCUUAACUAUCUGUAUGCUAGGAAUACUGCUAUACUAGAGGGCGGGAGAGGUCUGAGGUACUACAGGGGUAGGGGUGAAAUCUUAUAAUCCUUGUAGGACCACCAGUGGCGAAGGCGUCAGACUGGAACGCGCCUGACGGUGAGGGACGAAAGCCAGGGGAGCGAACCGGAUUAGAUACGUCGGUGCUAUUGCACCAUGCUAAACACCCGGGUAGUCCUGGCCGUAAACGAUGCAUACUAGUGAUGGUGCGGCCAUGAGCCGCAUCAGUGCCGUAGGGAAACCGUUAAGUGUGCCGCCUGGGAAGUACGGUCGCAAGGCUAAAACUUAAAGGAAUUGGCGGGGGAGCUCCCACAAGGGGUGAAGCCUGCGGUUCAAUGGACUCAACGCCGGU
Molecule: ribosomal RNA, 962 nt
Filed under: uncultured archaeon
Lineage: Archaea
Description: bacterial SSU rRNA
Rfam family: Archaeal small subunit ribosomal RNA
Source: RNAcentral